Canis lupus familiaris (dog) is the source of this 2642-nucleotide long non-coding RNA. RefSeq lists it as uncharacterized. The transcript has 9 exons. The record is from RefSeq and is a predicted model, not a curated record. Lineage: Eukaryota; Metazoa; Chordata; Mammalia; Carnivora; Canidae.
GCAGGAAAGCACAAAGAGGCUGCAGAUUACCACCCGCUACCUUCUCGGGCUGCCAGAGUUUGGGUGCGUGUGUUUUUAAGUGUUUUGCCCAGCUCCUCCUUCCCCCGCGACCAACAGCACACACGUACGUGAGUGAGCUAAUCAGCUCACAAACUGGAAGGAAAAAAAAAAAAAAAACCUUUCGAUGCAGGCGAGUGAUGGAAGAUAAAAUCUGAGGGGCGGCAUGUGGGUCAAGUAAAAGUUGCUCUGCAGUUCGCUCCUCCGAGCCCCGCAGCCCCGCGGCGACCGCAGGGAGGUGAGGUUCCCAAAGCCACUUUCACACCUUCGGUAAUGCACUAGCAAAGAGAAGCCCGGAGAGGCUGGAGUUUCCACGGACCGAACCGUCGGGGAAGCCGCCGCCCGGGAGGACGGAAGGGUUGGGCUCGCUACCUCUGCACACGGGCGAGCCGGGGCUCCGUCUCUCAGGAUAUGUGCAGGCCACUGUUUCUGCAAUGAAAGUGUAAAAAUGAUGGGUGUUUCAUGUGGAGAUUGUCCCUGUUUCUGAUGGUGAUACACUAGAAGAACCCACAGUGGCAUCCUGUAGACUCCCUGUUGCAGUGACAGCACAUGGGCUUUUCAUCUGCGCUCUCUGCAAUGAUCCUGCGAUCUGCCACACAAUCAGUUCCUUAGAAAAGAACAAUGCUACCAGAAAGAAAGAAAGUACUGGCAACAUGCACCAACAAUCUGCUGAAGAAAGCAAGUUGGCACAAUCUAAUGUGGAUAAGAAACCGGCCUCCUGCAUAAAAGAAGCCUGGGACUCGAGCUCCAGGCAACAAUAAGUGAGCCUGGGAAGAACAUCUUUCUACAAACCUACACCAGCUGAAAAAAAACCCUUCCCGAAAUGACUGGUGCCAUGUGUGGGGUUACCAGGAGCAGGAAGAAGUGUUUCAGAGGACAGAAAAAAAUUGAGUACAAAUAUUGUGGUUUUUCAUUGUCUUCAUAAAAACUGAGUUUUUCAGAUCUUGGACCUGGAGGGUAAUUUACAUAACCAAGUAUGAGAGCUCUCACAGAAUGAUUGCACACCUGCAUUUGGCGAAACAGAAAGAAAAACUCUUGUUGAGUAAUGUACCAUAUGCAAAUUGAGGGAUCAAAGGAGCACGACAGCUGUUGGCUCGAGUGCAACAUUGCAGUCUCCAAGGAGGCUGCCUGCCCUGUUGGCAGCAGGGUGAGUGCCAUGAUGCAGCUGCUGUUGGCAUGCUGAGAGCUGGAAGGGGAGAAAUUAUAAGGCAAAACAAGAAGGGGCUGUAAAGAUUCUUGAGGUUCAAACUGUAAAAUCUUCUCAGAGCUUCAGAAAAAAGGUCCAAGAAGACAAGGCACAUAACACUUUUCAGUAAAGGCUUAGAAAAAUGAAGUCACUUCCCUGGAGCAACAGAAGAACUCCAGCUGAAUGUAUGCAAGUGAAGAGAGGGAAGUAAGCAGCAGGCUGGCACUUGCUUCUGUAAUCUGUUCCAUGCAUUCUUGGAAAAGUGGCUUCACUGAAGCCGGAAAAUCUUCUGUACAGCCAACUAGAGUGGGGGAGCAGUGGAAAGAGGAAAGAGAAGCAUUUCAGGAAAGGAACCAGCAAGAAACAGUAUGCUCAGCAUGGGAUCCUGUUUAAUACUGGUUUGUGAAAUAAAAAAAGGCUAUCCAAGUGAUUUUUUUUAAAAAAACAUUUUUAAAAAGAAGAUGAUAAAAAAACUUGAAAAAGAAGUUUAUAGAAGCUCAUCAUCUCUGACCUGAAGCUAUCCAGAAAUCUCAAGGCCUUCCCCCUCAUUCUUGUCAGCACACUUUUCACCCCUGCUCUCCCCUCCUGUAGCCCUCCAUCACCACCUGGCUCCUCACUGCCAGCCCAUGGGGAUGAGUGCCUCGCAUCCCACUCUGCAGAGGAAAUAGGAAUCAUCAGGGGAGGAUCUCGUCUACUUACUGUACCCAAAAACCUUCUCUGCAUCUGUCUGUACCCCUCCAUACUUCCCUCCUGCCACCACAGGCAAGUUGCCCUCUUCCUACCCAAAGCAAAUCCCUCCCUGGCACCCCGCAUCCAUCUCGCCCCUACUCUUGAAGGACACGGCUUCAUCCAUUAGGAGGUGGCUCCUGAUUGCUCAUCUUUUAUAAAGUCAAUUCAUCAUUCACAGAAAGUUCUCCUGAGGUCUUUCAUACCCAACCGGAUCUUACCCACUGAACGCCCACACUAUCUUUCUUUCGCAGCCAGGCUGAGAUGAUUGUUGACACUCGCCAUCUGUUUCACUCCUCACCCACUGCAAUCGGCCUUCUAUCUCUGCCCCUGUACGGCCACUACUUUGUCCAAGGUCACUAAUAAUCACACUGUGCUAAACUCAGAAGACGUUCUCAAGUGCUAACCAUAUAUGACUUCUUUGUAGCACUUCAGACUGGUGACUCUCUGAGUUUUUUAAUCUUCUGGCUUCCGCGCCACUUGUUAGCGUUGCCUUUAUCUGUCUAGCUGAUUUUUUUUUUUUUUUGUCUAUUCUGAAAGGAUAUUCUCCAUUCUGUUGCUUUAUUCUUCCUCUCUCAACACACUUCCCCAGAGGAGCUUAUCCAUAUCCAUGGUUCCUUCUGCCCUAUUCCUCCACUCCCCCAAAGUAGAUACAAGAAUGUAGAUACAUGCA